Molecule: ribosomal RNA, 677 nt
Filed under: Escherichia coli
Lineage: Bacteria; Pseudomonadati; Pseudomonadota; Gammaproteobacteria; Enterobacterales; Enterobacteriaceae
Description: partial 23S ribosomal RNA
Rfam family: Bacterial large subunit ribosomal RNA
Source: RNAcentral
CAUUGAGCCUUGAUGUGUAGGAUAGGUGGGAGGCUUUGAAGUGUGGACGCCAGUCUGCAUGGAGCCGACCUUGAAAUACCACCCUUUAAUGUUUGAUGUUCUAACGUUGACCCGUAAUCCGGGUUGCGGACAGUGUCUGGUGGGUAGUUUGACUGGGGCGGUCUCCUCCUAAAGAGUAACGGAGGAGCACGAAGGUUGGCUAAUCCUGGUCGGACAUCAGGAGGUUAGUGCAAUGGCAUAAGCCAGCUUGACUGCGAGCGUGACGGCGCGAGCAGGUGCGAAAGCAGGUCAUAGUGAUCCGGUGGUUCUGAAUGGAAGGGCCAUCGCUCAACGGAUAAAAGGUACUCCGGGGAUAACAGGCUGAUACCGCCCAAGAGUUCAUAUCGACGGCGGUGUUUGGCACCUCGAUGUCGGCUCAUCACAUCCUGGGGCUGAAGUAGGUCCCAAGGGUAUGGCUGUUCGCCAUUUAAAGUGGUACGCGAGCUGGGUUUAGAACGUCGUGAGACAGUUCGGUCCCUAUCUGCCGUGGGCGCUGGAGAACUGAGGGGGGCUGCUCCUAGUACGAGAGGACCGGAGUGGACGCAUCACUGGUGUUCGGGUUGUCAUGCCAAUGGCACUGCCCGGUAGCUAAAUGCGGAAGAGAUAAGUGCUGAAAGCAUCUAAGCACGAAACUUGCC